This 336-nucleotide ribosomal RNA is filed under the name uncultured eukaryote. RNAcentral describes it as "SSU rRNA". It matches the Rfam family "Eukaryotic small subunit ribosomal RNA", at positions 601 to 945 of the family's 1831-position model. The record is from RNAcentral.
AUAGAACCAUUGCUGCGGUUAAAAAGCUCGUAGUUGGAUCUGUGCCGGCGACGUGGUCCGCCCUAACCGGCGGUACUGCGCUCGUCGGCUUUGGGCCGGUCUUCGGUCGGUCACCUUCACUGGUGGCCGCUCGUGGCUGGCUGGUUUACUUUGAGCAAAUCAGAGUGCUCAGCACAGGCGUCUCGCCGGAAUGGUCGUGCAUGGAAUAAUAGAAAAGGAUUUCGGUUCUCUUUUAUUGGUUUUGUGAACUGAGAUAAUGGUUAACAGAGACGGACGGGGCAUUCGUAUUGCGGCGUGAGAGGUGAAAUUCUUGGACCGCAGCAGGACGGACUACAG